Molecule: long non-coding RNA, 1104 nt
Organism: Myripristis murdjan (pinecone soldierfish)
Lineage: Eukaryota; Metazoa; Chordata; Actinopteri; Holocentriformes; Holocentridae
Exons: 3
Source: RefSeq, a predicted model, not a curated record
AUUAGGCUCCAUCAAACUCUAAUGUAUCUUGUUCCUAUCAUAUUUAAGCCAGAAACAGAUACAUAAAAAAAACAACAACGUGCAAACUAACCUUCAGAGAAUAUAAAUAUGUAGAUACCAAUAUUCAUUGACUUGUCCUCACCUGAGCCGCCGAGCACCACCACAAACUUGUUGUGCAGGAGCUGCCUGGCUUGACUCUGCGUCACAAACCUCAUGGCUGACUUCCAGGACGGCUGAACGAGCACAAGAAGUAUUAUUUUCACAUUUUCGUUCGUAUUUCAUUUCACUUUUCUUUCUCCGUGGGCACUGACAAAAACGAGCCAGCCGUCGUGAUGCGCUACCUUCACCAAACGGGGCCCAUGGGUUAGCUAGCUCCGGAGAAAGAAGGAGGAGUUCGCCCCAGCGCUCAUGAAGGGUCAGCAGAUUGAACCCGGCGAGUCCUAUCCCUCCAUCCUGAACAGACAAACAGGACACAGAAAAUAAAGCAGAGUCUGACAGCUGAAAGCUGUCCUGCUUCAUCAGUCUCCUCAAUCUUGCAUUGAUUUUAGGGCCCCAGGUGGGGGGAGAAACAGAAAAGAGUCAACAUGAAGUUUCUCAUCCAACAUGAUGUGAGAGGGAGACGAGGAGGUGAAGGAUAAAGCAAACGUUUCAACUGAGUGUCUGGGGAGAUGCUUUCUGACAAGCCUGUCAAGAUGAACUGACUGGACAACUCCCUCAGCAGCUCUUUAAAGGGCAUUUGUGUUGCACACACCUCCCACAAACACACACACACACCUCUUGUGUGUACUAUGCCUUAAGGUAACAUACACCAGCAAUGCACGCUGUUGCAACUAAUAAUAAAAUAACUGUCAGAUAAUGUAAUAUCUUGAGGUACAAUGUCCCUCUAUGCGAGUCUAAAUGUAAUAAAAAUCUGGUACUCUAAUCAUUUUUCCCCUUAAUAUUGUAAUGCAUUAUUAUAUUAACUGAAAAUGAUUACAUUAUAAGGGCCUGUAACUUUUCUCAAUUAUUCCAACACCAGUCUGCCGAGGAAUUUAUUUCAUUAACAGUGCUGCAAUGCAGAGUGUCUAUGGCCUUCAGAAACUAAAUUUAACACUUGUUAAGACA